GCAAGUCGAGCGGAACGAGUUAUCUGAACCUUCGGGGAACGAUAACGGCGUCGAGCGGCGGACGGGUGAGUAAUGCCUAGGAAAUUGCCCUGAUGUGGGGGAUAACCAUUGGAAACGAUGGCUAAUACCGCAUGAUGCCUACGGGCCAAAGAGGGGGACCUUCGGGCCUCUCGCGUCAGGAUAUGCCUAGGUGGGAUUAGCUAGUUGGUGAGGUAAGGGCUCACCAAGGCGACGAUCCCUAGCUGGUCUGAGAGGAUGAUCAGCCACACUGGAACUGAGACACGGUCCAGACUCCUACGGGAGGCAGCAGUGGGGAAUAUUGCACAAUGGGCGCAAGCCUGAUGCAGCCAUGCCGCGUGUGUGAAGAAGGCCUUCGGGUUGUAAAGUACUUUCAGUCGUGAGGAAGGCGGCGUCGUUAAUAGCGGCGUUGUUUGACGUUAGCGACAGAAGAAGCACCGGCUAACUCCGUGCCAGCAGC
RNAcentral lists this ribosomal RNA (478 nucleotides) under bacterium 1911-S4-01-1.1. RNAcentral describes it as "bacterial SSU rRNA". It matches the Rfam family "Bacterial small subunit ribosomal RNA", at positions 57 to 515 of the family's 1533-position model. The record is from RNAcentral.